Molecule: ribosomal RNA, 502 nt
Filed under: uncultured bacterium
Lineage: Bacteria
Description: partial 16S ribosomal RNA
Rfam family: Bacterial small subunit ribosomal RNA
Source: RNAcentral
GAUGAACGCUAGCGGCAGGCCUAACACAUGCAAGUCGAGGGGCAGCACAGAAACAGCAAUGUUUUGGUGGCGACCGGCGGACGGGUGCGUAACGCGUAUGCAACCUACCUUUAACAGGGGGAUAACGGAGAGAAAUUUCCACUAAUACCCCAUAACAUCGAUCAAGGCAUCUUGAUUGGUUGAAAACUCCGGUGGUUAAAGAUGGGCAUGCGUUGUAUUAGGUAGUUGGUGAGGUAAUGGCUCACCAAGCCUACGAUACAUAGGGGGACUGAGAGGUUAGCCCCCCACACUGGUACGGGGACACGUACCAGACUCCUACGGGAGGCAGCAGUGAGGAAUAUUGGUCAAUGGGGGCAACCCUGAACCAGCCAUGCCGCGUGCAGGAAGACGGCUCUAUGAGUUGUAAACUGCUUUUAAACAGGGAUAAAGCACAGUAUGUAUACUGUGUUGAAGGUACUGUAAGAAUAAGGAUCGGCUAACUCCGUGCCAGCCGCCGCGGUAA